CCCUUAGAUGUCCGGGGCUGCACGCGCGCUACACUGAAGGAAUCAGCGUGCUAAAACCAUUGUCGAAAGGCAUUGGUAAACCCAUUAAAAUCCUACGUGAUUGGGAUCGGGAAUUGCAAUUAUUUCCCUUGAACGAGGAAUUCCCAGUAAGUGUGGGUCAUAAGCUCGCGUUGAUUACGUCCCUGCCCUUUAUACACACCGCCCGUCGCUGCCCGGGACUGAGCCGUUUCGAGAAAAGCGGGGACUGCUGCUGUCGGGGCUUUCGGGCCUUGGCUUCGGUGGAAACCGCUUUAAUCGCAGUGGCUUGAACCGGGCAAAAGUCGUAACA
RNAcentral lists this ribosomal RNA (328 nucleotides) under uncultured eukaryote. Its description in RNAcentral is "partial 18S ribosomal RNA". It matches the Rfam family "Eukaryotic small subunit ribosomal RNA", at positions 1470 to 1796 of the family's 1831-position model. The record is from RNAcentral.